Molecule: ribosomal RNA, 536 nt
Filed under: Magnaporthaceae sp. R6-5-1
Lineage: Eukaryota; Fungi; Ascomycota; Sordariomycetes; Magnaporthales; Magnaporthaceae
Description: eukaryotic LSU rRNA
Rfam family: 5.8S ribosomal RNA (bases 138-291)
Source: RNAcentral
ACUCCAACCCUUGUGAACAUUACCUUCGUCGUUGCUUCGGCGGUAGAGGCACUCUUUCCCGGGGUGUCGACGCCGCCGGAGGGCUUUAAACUCUUGAUUUUGCAGUGUAUCUCUGAGCAUUAAAAAAAAAUAAUCAAAACUUUCAACAACGGAUCUCUUGGUUCUGGCAUCGAUGAAGAACGCAGCGAAAUGCGAUAAGUAAUGUGAAUUGCAGAAUUCAGUGAAUCAUCGAAUCUUUGAACGCACAUUGCGCCCGCCGGUAUUCCGGCGGGCAUGCCUGUUCGAGCGUCAUUCCACCCCUCAAGCACAGCUUGGUGUUGGGGCACCCGGCCGCUUUGCGGAUCCGGGGCCCCCAAAGUGAUCGGCGGGCUCGUCGGAACUCUGAGCGUAGUAGGCCGCGGUAAAACGCGCAUCGCUUGGCAGGGUCUGAAAAACGGGUUCCUAGCCGCUAAACUAUAUGAACUUUUCAAGUGAGUUGACCUCGGAUCAGGUAGGAAUACCCGCUGAACUUAAGCAUAUCAAUAAGGCCGGAGGAA